RNAcentral lists this ribosomal RNA (253 nucleotides) under uncultured bacterium. RNAcentral describes it as "partial 16S ribosomal RNA". It matches the Rfam family "Bacterial small subunit ribosomal RNA", at positions 524 to 776 of the family's 1533-position model. The record is from RNAcentral.
UACGUAGGGUGCAAGCGUUGUCCGGAAUUAUUGGGCGUAAAGCGCGCGCAGGCGGUCUUUUAAGUCUGAUGUGAAAGCCCCCGGCUCAACCGGGGAGGGUCAUUGGAAACUGGGAGACUUGAGUGCAGAAGAGAAGAGUGGAAUUCCACGUGUAGCGGUGAAAUGCGUAGAGAUGUGGAGGAACACCAGUGGCGAAGGCGACUCUUUGGUCUGUAACUGACGCUGAGGCGCGAAAGCGUGGGGAGCAAACAGG